AUUGAACGCUGGCGGCAGGCUUAACACAUGCAAGUCGAACGGUAGCAGGAGAAAGCUUGCUUUCUUGCUGACGAGUGGCGGACGGGUGAGUAAUGCUUGGGAAUCUGGCUUAUGGAGGGGGAUAACUACGGGAAACUGUAGCUAAUACCGCGUAGAAUCGGAAGAUGAAAGUGCGGGACCGCAAGGCCGCAUGCCAUGAGAUGAGCCCAAGUGGGAUUAGGUAGUUGGUGGGGUAAAGGCCUACCAAGCCUGCGAUCUCUAGCUGGUCUGAGAGGAUGGCCAGCCACACUGGAACUGAGACACGGUCCAGACUCCUACGGGAGGCAGCAGUGGGGAAUAUUGCGCAAUGGGGGGAACCCUGACGCAGCCAUGCCGCGUGAAUGAAGAAGGCCUUCGGGUUGUAAAGUUCUUUCGGUAUUGAGGAAGGUUGAUGUGUUAAUAGUACAUCAAAUUGACGUUAAAUACAGAAGAAGCACCGGCUAACUCCGUGCCAGCAGCCGCGGUAAUACGGAGGGUGCGAGCGUUAAUCGGAAUAACUGGGCGUAAAGGGCACGCAGGCGGUUAUUUAAGCGAGGUGUGAAAGCCCCGGGCUUAACCUGGGAAUUGCAUUUUAGACUGGGUAACUAGAGUACUUUAGGGAGGGGUAGAAUUCCACGUGUAGCGGUGAAAUGCGUAGAGAUGUGGAGGAAUACCGAAGGCGAAGGCAGCCCCUUGGGAAUGUACUGACGCUCAUGUGCGAAAGCGUGGGGAGCAAACAGG
RNAcentral lists this ribosomal RNA (759 nucleotides) under Haemophilus influenzae. RNAcentral describes it as "bacterial SSU rRNA". It matches the Rfam family "Bacterial small subunit ribosomal RNA", at positions 28 to 776 of the family's 1533-position model. The record is from RNAcentral. Lineage: Bacteria; Pseudomonadati; Pseudomonadota; Gammaproteobacteria; Pasteurellales; Pasteurellaceae.